Molecule: ribosomal RNA, 458 nt
Filed under: uncultured bacterium
Lineage: Bacteria
Description: partial 16S ribosomal RNA
Rfam family: Bacterial small subunit ribosomal RNA
Source: RNAcentral
GAUAAACGCUGGCGGCGUGCCUGAGACAUGCAAGUCGAACGAAGGAUCGGGCUUGCUCGAUCCUUAGUGGCGGACGGCUGAGUAACGCGUAGGUGGCCUACCCCGAAGUGGGGAAUAACUGCCCGAAAGGGUGGCUAAUACCGCAUGUGGUCGCACGUUCAUUCGUGCGAGUAAAGCCGCAAGGCGCUUCGGGAGGGGCCUGCGUCCGAUUAGCUCGUUGGUGGGGUAAUGGCUUACCAAGGCGACGAUCGGUAGGUGGUCUGAGAGGACGAUCACCCAGACUGGGACUGAGACACGGCCCAGACUCCUACGGGAGGCAGCAGUCGGGAAUUUUGCUCAAUGGGGGAAACCCUGAAGCAGCAACGCCGCGUGAGGGAUGAAGGCCUUCGGGUUGUAAACCUCUUUUGUCAGGGACGAUGAUGACGGUACCUGGCGAAUAAGCCACGGCUAACUACGUG